RNAcentral lists this ribosomal RNA (468 nucleotides) under uncultured bacterium. RNAcentral's name for it is "partial 16S ribosomal RNA". It matches the Rfam family "Bacterial small subunit ribosomal RNA", at positions 36 to 507 of the family's 1533-position model. The record is from RNAcentral.
UCCUCCCUCUUUCCUCGUGCUUAACACAUGCAAGUCGAACGGAAAGGCCCUGCUUUUGUGGGGUGCUCGAGUGGCGAACGGGUGAGUAACACGUGAGUAACCUGCCCUUGACUUUGGGAUAACUUCAGGAAACUGGGGCUAAUACCGGAUAGGAGCUCCUGCUGCAUGGUGGGGGUUGGAAAGUUUCGGCGGUUGGGGAUGGACUCGCGGCUUAUCAGCUUGUUGGUGGGGUAGUGGCUUACCAAGGCUUUGCCGGGUAGCCGGCCUGAGAGGGUGACCGGCCACAUUGGGACUGAGAUACGGCCCAGACUCCUACGGGAGGCAGCAGUGGGGAAUAUUGCACAAUGGGCGGAAGCCUGAUGCAGCAACGCCGCGUGCGGGAUGACGGCCUUCGGGUUGUAAACCGCUUUCGCCUGUGACGAAGCGUGAGUGACGGUAAUGGGUAAAGAAGCACCGGCUAACUACGUG